CGGCGUGGAUAAGACAUGCAAGUCGAAGGGGAUAUUAUUUGUAGCAAUACAGGUAAUGUUCAGUGGCGCAAGGGUGCGUAACACGUGGGCAACCUGCCCUGAAGUGGGGGAUAGCCCGCCGAAAGGCGGAUUAAUACCGCAUAUGGCUACCGGAAACCUUUCUGGGACGCCAAAGCCGGGGCAACCUGGCGCUUUGGGAUGGGCCCGCGGCCUAUCAGCUAGUUGGUGAGGUAACGGCUCACCAAGGCGAUGACGGGUAGCUGGUCUGAGAGGACGACCAGCCACACUGGAACUGAGACACGGUCCAGACACCUACGGGUGGCAGCAGUCGAGAAUUUUUCUCAAUGGGGGAAACCCUGAAAGAGCGACGCCGCGUGGAGGAUGAAGGUCUUCGGACUGUAAACGCCUGUCAUUGGGAACAAGACUGCCGU
RNAcentral lists this ribosomal RNA (431 nucleotides) under uncultured bacterium. RNAcentral's name for it is "bacterial SSU rRNA". It matches the Rfam family "Bacterial small subunit ribosomal RNA", at positions 40 to 457 of the family's 1533-position model. The record is from RNAcentral.